Molecule: ribosomal RNA, 406 nt
Filed under: uncultured bacterium
Lineage: Bacteria
Description: partial 16S ribosomal RNA
Rfam family: Bacterial small subunit ribosomal RNA
Source: RNAcentral
AUUGAACGCUGGCGGCAGGCCUAACACAUGCAAGUCGAACGAGUGGCGGACGGGUGAGUAAUGUCUGGGAAACUGCCUGAUGGAGGGGGAUAACUACUGGAAACGGUAGCUAAUACCGCAUACCAUCGGAUGUGCCCAGAUGGGAUUAGCUCGUAGGUGGGGUAAAGGCUCACCUAGGCGACGAUCCCUAGCUGGUCUGAGAGGAGGACCAGCCAAACUGGAACGGAGACACGGUCCAGAUGCCUACGGGCGGCAGCAGUGGGGAAUAUUGCACAAUGGGCGCAAGCCUGAUGCAGUCAUGCCGCGUGUAGGAAGAAGGCCUUCGGGUUGUAAAGUACUUUCAGCGGGGAGGCGUUACCCGCAGAAGAAGCACAGGCUAACUCCGUGCCAGCAGCAGCGGUAAUUC